Molecule: ribosomal RNA, 271 nt
Filed under: uncultured prokaryote
Description: partial 16S ribosomal RNA
Rfam family: Bacterial small subunit ribosomal RNA
Source: RNAcentral
UACGGAGGAUCCGAGCGUUGUCCGGAUUUACUGGGCGUAAAGGGAGCGUAGGCGGACUUUUAAGCGAGAUGUGAAAUACCCGGGCUCAACUUGGGUGCUGCAUUUCAAACUGGAAGUCUAGAGUGCAGGAGAGGAGAAUGGAAUUCCUAGUGUAGCGGUGAAAUGCGUAGAGAUUAGGAAGAACACCAGUGGCGAAGGCGAUUCUCUGGACUGUAACUGACGCUGAGGCUCGAAAGCGUGGGGAUCAAACAGGAUUAGAUACCCCGGUAGU